This is a small nucleolar RNA of Dipodomys ordii (Ord's kangaroo rat), 64 nucleotides long. NCBI's taxonomy places the organism in Eukaryota, Metazoa, Chordata, Mammalia, Rodentia, Heteromyidae. The record is from Ensembl.
CACAAAUGAUGAACUUAAUGACGGGCGGACAGAGACUCUGUGCUGAAUGUCAUGUUCUGAUUUG